GUCUACAGCCAUACCACCCUGAACGUGCCCGAUCUCGUCUGAUCUCGGAAGCUAAGCAGGGUCGGGCCUGGUUAGUACUUGGAUGGGAGAAUAAAUGAAGAAUUUAUUCUCAGGUGCAGGCA
RNAcentral lists this ribosomal RNA (122 nucleotides) under Neogale vison (American mink). The record is from RNAcentral. Lineage: Eukaryota; Metazoa; Chordata; Mammalia; Carnivora; Mustelidae.